GACGAACGCUGGCGGCGUGCUUAACACAUGCAAGUCGAACGCUGAAGCUUGGUGCUUGCACUGGGUGGAUGAGUGGCGAACGGGUGAGUAAUACGUGAGUAACCUGCCCUUGACUCUGGGAUAAGCCUGGGAAACUGGGUCUAAUACUGGAUACGACAUGUCACCGCAUGGUGGUGUGUGGAAAGGGUUUUACUGGUUUUGGAUGGGCUCACGGCCUAUCAGCUUGUUGGUGGGGUAAUGGCUCACCAAGGCGACGACGGGUAGCCGGCCUGAGAGGGUGACCGGCCACACUGGGACUGAGACACGGCCCAGACUCCUACGGGAGGCAGCAGUGGGGAAUAUUGCACAAUGGGCGGAAGCCUGAUGCAGCGACGCCGCGUGAGGGAUGACGGCCUUCGGGUUGUAAACCCCUUUCAGCACGGAAGAAGCGAAAGUGACGGUACGUGCAGAAGAAGCGCCGGCUAACUACGUG
RNAcentral lists this ribosomal RNA (472 nucleotides) under uncultured bacterium. Its description in RNAcentral is "partial 16S ribosomal RNA". It matches the Rfam family "Bacterial small subunit ribosomal RNA", at positions 28 to 507 of the family's 1533-position model. The record is from RNAcentral.